UCCCCACUCGUGUGCCUCCUUCCUAGACUGCUGACUCAGUUUUUCCUUCAUGAGCAAUUUGAGGUUGUUCUGACCUGUGUUCUUUGACAGUCAUUUUGUCAGAAAUGGGAUUCAAUAAUGGGCCAAACUGCUGACUGGACUGAACCAGACAUGACAGCCUAGUCCCAGCAGGGAAGUUUCAGAGGGGGAUCUCCAAUUUGUGUCAACUAAUCUCUGUUGGACGCCCACACCAACUUCAGGAUGACUGGGAAGAUUCUAGUAAAAGCCAAAGCUGCCUAAUAGCAAUGUCUCCUUGCCACCAUUCCAAAGGUAUUUUGCCACCCUAUAGAUAUAUCUAAUUGCUAAUUUGUAUCAUAAACAUUUGGCUGACCUUCAUACUUCUCAUUCUUUUUUAGUUGAAGGUCUUGACCCUGCAGUGGCCAAACUUAUUGAAACCAACCUUUCAAAGUAGCAAACAUGGACUUUGUUUGAUGCUGCCCCUGGUAACUGAACUGCUCCAGGGACCUGCAUGCCAGAGAGACUUCUGUGAUAGAGAGAGGACACUGAAGCCUGCCAAAGAACCCACCAAAUUGGAAAGAUUGAAAGACUUUGGGGAAAUGGGGUAGUGGGGUUUUUUGUUAGAAUUUUGCUAGAGGCAGACUGCCUAUUCUCUGGCCAGGCAUUUGGGGAGUGCCCCCAAAUGCCAGUUGUCAAUGUGCUGGGCAUUUGGGGAGCCCCCAAAUGCCAACUGUCUAUACUUAUGCACAAUGGUUUCUCUUCUUAGUAAUAUAAUAGGGUCCAACUCUUUUAGGUAACUCCAUUUUGUCUUUUUUGGUGUGGACAAAAAGCAUUUAACCUUUGUCCACAAGAGGUGUGUGUCAACAUGAAAUCUGAACACCUCAAUUUUACCCCUGCCCCUUGAGAAACCCCAGGACCAGGCAAACUUGUUUUGGGUUGAAAUAUAGACUUUAAACUGUUUGGUGACCCUAACGUGGGUGGGAUUAGUGGAUAUAGUCAAAAUGGUGAGUUCCUUUGUUUGUUUUAGAAGCUUCUCCCAUUGUAUUAAAGAUCCCUCUCAGGAAGCCCAGAUCUUAGUUUGACUCUCCUUUGUAAUUGUUAUAACUGACCCCUCCCUGAUACCCCUGAUGCUGGCUGCGAACCUCUUUGCAGCCUGCUUACAGUUUGUCUAUGUAUGCUUGCUGUACCAAGUUCUCCAGAAGUUAUAAAAGACCCCCCCAAGUUCUGUCCCUCUUUGGAGCUGGCAUCUGACUUGGUGUUACUUCCAGAGACUUGGCCAGAGCUUUCAGCUCUGUGUGGAUUUUGAGUGUGAUACUCCAUGUGGAAGCCUAAAGAUUGUUCCAUAAUCCCUAUCCUGAUUAAAGAUUUGUUGUUUUCUGAAUAUUAAAUAAUUCUGUGUUUUUUCCAAGUUAACAGCCUCCAGAGGAAGAACCGAUGAUAUAUUUUUACAGAUUUCUUUUUAUCAUGGGAUGCCUUCCCUAAUGGGGGAGGGGAGAAGGAAGAGAAAGAGUAAACUGGGCAUUUUAAUAUAACAAUUUUUUUUAAAGGAAUAAAGUGGAACUGAACAGUCUCCUUUGUAAAUAG
Molecule: long non-coding RNA, 1581 nt
Organism: Monodelphis domestica (gray short-tailed opossum)
Lineage: Eukaryota; Metazoa; Chordata; Mammalia; Didelphimorphia; Didelphidae
Source: Ensembl